GAUGAACGCUAGCUACAGGCUUAACACAUGCAAGUCGAGGGGCAGCAGGGAUUUAGCUUGCUAAAUCCGCUGGCGACCGGCGCACGGGUGCGUAACGCGUAUCCAACUUUCCCGUUACUCAGGGAUAGCCUUCCGAAAGGGAGAUUAAUACCUGAUGGUGUUUGAAGUUCGCAUGUUCUUCAAACUAAAGAUUUAUCGGUAACGGAUAGGGAUGCGUGACAUUAGAUAGUAGGCGGGGUAACGGCCCACCUAGUCUACGAUGUCUAGGGGUUCUGAGAGGAAGGUCCCCCACACUGGAACUGAGACACGGUCCAGACUCCUACGGGAGGCAGCAGUGAGGAAUAUUGGUCAAUGGUCAGACGACUGAACCAGCCAUGCCGCGUGAAAGGUCACGGCCCUAUGGGUCUUAAAACUUCUUUUGCGAGGGAGCAAUAAGGCGCACGUGUGCGUCGAUGAGAGUACCUCGCGAAUAAGCAUCGGCAACUCCGUGCCAGCAG
Molecule: ribosomal RNA, 497 nt
Filed under: uncultured bacterium
Lineage: Bacteria
Description: bacterial SSU rRNA
Rfam family: Bacterial small subunit ribosomal RNA
Source: RNAcentral